GGAUGCGAUCAUACCAGCACUAGAGCACCGGAUCCCAUCAGAACUCCGAAGUUAAGCGUGCUUGGGCGAGAGUAGUACUAGGAUGGGUGACCUCCUGGGAAGUCCUCGUGUUGCAUUCC
RNAcentral lists this ribosomal RNA (119 nucleotides) under Sorghum bicolor (sorghum). Lineage: Eukaryota; Viridiplantae; Streptophyta; Magnoliopsida; Poales; Poaceae. The record is from RNAcentral. RNAcentral also lists the same sequence under 2 other names.